GCAUAUCAUAAGCGGGAGGAAAAAGAAAACUUAAACAAAGGAUCCCCUAGUAACGGCGAGUGAAGAGGGGAAGAGCCCAAGAUUGAAAGCUGGGCGUCUUCGGCGUCCGCAUUGUAAUCUCAAAGAAGUGUUUUUCCGCUUCGGACCAAGCCUAAGUCCCUUGGAAAAAGGGCAUCAUAGAGGGUGAUAAUCCCGUACAUGGCUUGGAGCGCCCGAGGCUUUGUGAUACGCUUUCUAAGAGUCGAGUUGUUUGGGAAUGCAGCUCAAAAUGGGUGGUAAAUGCCAUCUAAGGCUAAAUAUUGGGGAGAGACCGAUAGCGAACAAGUACAGUGAUGGAAAGAUGAAAAGAACUUUGAAAAGAGAGUUAAACAGUACGUGAAAUUGCCAAAAGGGAAGGGUAGGAGGUCAGAGAUGCGGCCUGGGAUUCAGCCUUGCUUUUGCUUGGUGUUUUUCCCAGAUUGCAGGCCAACGUCGGUUUUGGGCACUGGAGAAGGGUAGGAGGAAUGUGGCACCCCUCGGGGUGUGUUAUAGCCUCCUACUGGAUACAGCGACCGAGACCGAGGACAGCAGCGUACUCGUAAGAGCGGGCCCUCGGGCACCUUUACGCUUAGGGCGUUGGCAUAAUGGCCCUCUACCACCCGUCUUGAAACACGGACCAAGGAGUCUAACAUGUAUGCGAGUCUUUGGGUGGCAAACCCAUAGGCGCAAUGAAAGUGAAUUCAGGUGGGAUCCGCAAGGUGCACCAUCGACCGAUCCUCACGUCUUUUAAGUCGUGGAUUUGAGUAAGAGCAUACCUGUUGGGACCCGAAAGAUGGUGAACUAUGCCUGAAUAGGGUGAAGCCAGAGGAAACUCUGGUGGUAGGCUCGUAGCGGUUCUGACGUGCAAAAUCGAUCGUCAAAUUUGGGUAAUAAGGGCGAAAGACUUAAUCCGAACCAUCUAGUAGCUGGGUUCCUGCCGGAG
This 961-nucleotide ribosomal RNA is filed under the name Moesziomyces penicillariae. RNAcentral's name for it is "LSU rRNA". It matches the Rfam family "Eukaryotic large subunit ribosomal RNA", at positions 38 to 966 of the family's 3401-position model. The record is from RNAcentral. Lineage: Eukaryota; Fungi; Basidiomycota; Ustilaginomycetes; Ustilaginales; Ustilaginaceae.